This 497-nucleotide ribosomal RNA is filed under the name uncultured bacterium. RNAcentral's name for it is "partial 16S ribosomal RNA". It matches the Rfam family "Bacterial small subunit ribosomal RNA", at positions 28 to 507 of the family's 1533-position model. The record is from RNAcentral.
GAUGAACGCUGGCGGCGUGCCUAAUACAUGCAAGUCGAGCGAACAGAUGAGGAGCUUGCUCCUCUGACGUUAGCGGCGGACGGGUGAGUAACACGUGGAUAACCUACCUAUAAGACUGGGAUAACUUCGGGAAACCGGAGCUAAUACCGGAUAAUAUAUUGAACCGCAUGGUUCAAUAGUGAAAGACGGUUUUGCUGUCACUUAUAGAUGGAUCCGCGCCGCAUUAGCUAGUUGGUAAGGUAACGGCUUACCAAGGCAACGAUGCGUAGCCGACCUGAGAGGGUGGUCGGCCACACUGGAACUGAGACACGGUCCAGACGCCUACGGGAGGCAGCAGUAGGGAAUCUUCCGCAAUGGGCGAAAGCCUGACGGAGCAACGCCGCGUGAGUGAUGAAGGUCUUCGGAUCGUAAAACUCUGUUAUUAGGGAAGAACAAAUGUGUAAGUAACUAUGCACGUCUUGACGGUACCUAAUCAGAAAGCCACGGCUAACUACGUG